This 1183-nucleotide long non-coding RNA is filed under the name Mus musculus (house mouse). Its description in RNAcentral is "long non-coding RNA chr9:13652677-13653860". The record is from RNAcentral. Lineage: Eukaryota; Metazoa; Chordata; Mammalia; Rodentia; Muridae.
GGUGUCGUGAAACAUUAGAAGUCAUUCAAUCACAUUCCGUAUCCGUCUCCUCACAUCCGUGAGAAGGCAUCUGUCAUGGGGCUGUGUCCUUGCUUCUUGGAGGAGCUGGCUCCGAUUUGAAAAUGUUAUACUGUGCUGCCUUUGCCUGUCUCUCUUUGGUGGGAGGUUUGAGAUUAGCACACACACCCACCACUCUGACACUAAGAUUGCUCUCUUAUCUCACUUAGUAAAAUAACUGAAACUGAUAGUUGUCCGUUUGGGAGAUUCAUCAGGAUUUAUUCUAAUUCUAUUUCCCUUACAAAUUACUGAGGUCUACAGGUAUGGACAGAGAAUAGCUCUCACCAUGCAGUAGCUGUAUUUUCUACCCUCAGUGUUCCAGAAGCCCUUUCUUGGUAGUGAGUGGAGAAGUCGAUGAAGAGAGAGGCUUCUAUGUGUCUAUUCCCUGCUUGCCAUACUAUGGAAAUGGAAUUUUUGAGUUUUGGAGCAGAUGCCAUCUGCUGGAUAUUCAAGAUACUACAACACAAAUUUAUAGGGCCAGAAAACACAAUGAACAGCCUGAUAGCUAAAUUAAGUAAACUCUACUUCCAUGGCCCCAGGUAGAUUGGAAACUCUCUAACCGUAAAGUGUCAAUAUUUGAACUUUAUUUUUCGGAUUAGAAUCAAUCUUGUCUUUGCUAUCUGUGCUCAGUGUUAGAUCCCAGAAUUUGUCAUUUAGUUUGAAGGCAUGGGAACACAGGUAAAAUUCCUGCUCCUGUUUCAAGAAGGAAUAAAUCCACAAAGAUGCACUCAAAGGCUUCUAAAAUUAAAGCUAGGGGCAAUGUAAAAAAAUAGAGAGAGCGAAUGUGGGGAGGGGGAAUGGGCUUCUGUGGGCAUAAAGGGCAAACAUAAAAGUGAAACAAUGUGUAAAACAUCAAUACAGGCUAAGCAGAGGUUCCUUCCUCUGAGACUUGAACUCCAUUUUCUCCACACUGCUCCUGUUAGGGAACUAUAUGAUAAAGCCUUUGUAGAUCUGUCUUAGAAUUUUCUAUUAUAGUCAUAUUGGCUGGAAUACCUGUUAAGCCUGGCCCCGCCUUGGGUUUCCUUAGCUGGUUGAAUAAAUCAUUUCACGUUUUGGAGACUCAAUCUUCCCACUUGUUAGACAUGAAGAUAAAUGUUACUGUCUGAAUGUAAACUGCUAAAAAUGU